This 468-nucleotide ribosomal RNA is filed under the name uncultured bacterium. RNAcentral describes it as "partial 16S ribosomal RNA". It matches the Rfam family "Bacterial small subunit ribosomal RNA", at positions 28 to 507 of the family's 1533-position model. The record is from RNAcentral.
GACGAACGCUGGCGGCGUGCUUAACACAUGCAAGUCGAACGGAAAGGCCCUGCUUUUGUGGGGUGCUCGAGUGGCGAACGGGUGAGUAACACGUGAGUAACCUGCCCUUGACUUUGGGAUAACUUCAGGAAACUGGGGCUAAUACCGGAUAGGAGCUCCUGCUGCAUGGUGGGGGUUGGAAAGUUUCGACGGUUGGGGAUGGACUCGCGGCUUAUCAGCUUGUUGGUGGGGUAGUGGCUUACCAAGGCUUUGACGGGUAGCCGGCCUGGGAGGGUGGCCGGCCACAUUGGGACUGAGGGACGGCCCAGACUCCUACGGGAGGCAGCAGUGGGGAAUAUUGCACAAUGGGCGGAAGCCUGAGGCAGCGACGCCGCGUGCGGGAUGACGGCCUUCGGGUUGUAAACCGCUUUCGCCUGUGACGAAGCGUGAGUGACGGUAAUGGGUAAAGAAGCACCGGCUAACUACGUG